UUGGCUGGAAAGCCUGGGUAAUCUUCUGAAACUUCAUCGUGCUGGGGCUAGUCCCUUGCAAUUAUUGGACUUAAACGAGGAAUUCCUAGUAAGCGUGAGUCAUCAGCUCGCGUUGAUUACGUCCCUGCCC
RNAcentral lists this ribosomal RNA (130 nucleotides) under uncultured eukaryote. Its description in RNAcentral is "partial 18S ribosomal RNA". It matches the Rfam family "Eukaryotic small subunit ribosomal RNA", at positions 1529 to 1658 of the family's 1831-position model. The record is from RNAcentral.